UGGACCCAGUCAUGGACCUGUUAGUGC
RNAcentral lists this non-coding RNA (27 nucleotides) under Macaca fascicularis (crab-eating macaque). Lineage: Eukaryota; Metazoa; Chordata; Mammalia; Primates; Cercopithecidae. The record is from RNAcentral. RNAcentral also lists the same sequence under 1 other name.